Molecule: long non-coding RNA, 375 nt
Filed under: Physcomitrium patens
Lineage: Eukaryota; Viridiplantae; Streptophyta; Bryopsida; Funariales; Funariaceae
Description: long non-coding RNA (PPAT_LNC014574)
Source: RNAcentral
GCACACAACCACUCCAAUUUGCUGACAAUAAUCGAAAGAAAGAUUACAGUUAUGUGCUUCACAACAGGCGAAUUGAACCAGAUUUUAGGAUUUAGGGUUUUUACUACCAACGUGCUUUUCCGAAAGUAGACGGGCAGAUCGCGGAGAAUUUGCGAAGGAAAUUAACUAGGCGGAGCGAUGGCCAUUGCUGGGAGACCUUCACGACAAGCUUCACGGAACCCAACACAGACAAGCCAAGCUUCCUUGUCCUGAGAGUGCAAGCGAAGAGCAUUUUUGGAGCUUGGCACCAAACUCGGCAAAGGUCCACAACCCCCGACGUUGGCACGAUAUUUUAAGCACCAGUGAAUCAGCACUGCCGGAAACGGCUGUCUGGGC